Mycena vulgaris is the source of this 91-nucleotide non-coding RNA. The record is from the annotation of a GenBank genome assembly. NCBI's taxonomy places the organism in Eukaryota, Fungi, Basidiomycota, Agaricomycetes, Agaricales, Mycenaceae.
GUACCAGUGGUGGAUGGAACACACACCGGCCUGAUUUGCAAAAUUGGAUAUAUGUCCCUGGUGAGACGGGGUUCGAUUCCCUGCUGGUGCA